This 1446-nucleotide ribosomal RNA is filed under the name Limosilactobacillus fermentum. Its description in RNAcentral is "bacterial SSU rRNA". It matches the Rfam family "Bacterial small subunit ribosomal RNA". The record is from RNAcentral. Lineage: Bacteria; Bacillati; Bacillota; Bacilli; Lactobacillales; Lactobacillaceae.
UGCAAGUCGAACGCGUUGGCCCAAUUGAUUGAUGGUGCUUGCACCUGAUUGAUUUUGGUCGCCAACGAGUGGCGGACGGGUGAGUAACACGUAGGUAACCUGCCCAGAAGCGGGGGACAACAUUUGGAAACAGAUGCUAAUACCGCAUAACAGCGUUGUUCGCAUGAACAACGCUUAAAAGAUGGCUUCUCGCUAUCACUUCUGGAUGGACCUGCGGUGCAUUAGCUUGUUGGUGGGGUAAUGGCCUACCAAGGCGAUGAUGCAUAGCCGAGUUGAGAGACUGAUCGGCCACAAUGGGACUGAGACACGGCCCAUACUCCUACGGGAGGCAGCAGUAGGGAAUCUUCCACAAUGGGCGCAAGCCUGAUGGAGCAACACCGCGUGAGUGAAGAAGGGUUUCGGCUCGUAAAGCUCUGUUGUUAAAGAAGAACACGUAUGAGAGUAACUGUUCAUACGUUGACGGUAUUUAACCAGAAAGUCACGGCUAACUACGUGCCAGCAGCCGCGGUAAUACGUAGGUGGCAAGCGUUAUCCGGAUUUAUUGGGCGUAAAGAGAGUGCAGGCGGUUUUCUAAGUCUGAUGUGAAAGCCUUCGGCUUAACCGGAGAAGUGCAUCGGAAACUGGAUAACUUGAGUGCAGAAGAGGGUAGUGGAACUCCAUGUGUAGCGGUGGAAUGCGUAGAUAUAUGGAAGAACACCAGUGGCGAAGGCGGCUACCUGGUCUGCAACUGACGCUGAGACUCGAAAGCAUGGGUAGCGAACAGGAUUAGAUACCCUGGUAGUCCAUGCCGUAAACGAUGAGUGCUAGGUGUUGGAGGGUUUCCGCCCUUCAGUGCCGGAGCUAACGCAUUAAGCACUCCGCCUGGGGAGUACGACCGCAAGGUUGAAACUCAAAGGAAUUGACGGGGGCCCGCACAAGCGGUGGAGCAUGUGGUUUAAUUCGAAGCUACGCGAAGAACCUUACCAGGUCUUGACAUCUUGCGCCAACCCUAGAGAUAGGGCGUUUCCUUCGGGAACGCAAUGACAGGUGGUGCAUGGUCGUCGUCAGCUCGUGUCGUGAGAUGUUGGGUUAAGUCCCGCAACGAGCGCAACCCUUGUUACUAGUUGCCAGCAUUAAGUUGGGCACUCUAGUGAGACUGCCGGUGACAAACCGGAGGAAGGUGGGGACGACGUCAGAUCAUCAUGCCCCUUAUGACCUGGGCUACACACGUGCUACAAUGGACGGUACAACGAGUCGCGAACUCGCGAGGGCAAGCAAAUCUCUUAAAACCGUUCUCAGUUCGGACUGCAGGCUGCAACUCGCCUGCACGAAGUCGGAAUCGCUAGUAAUCGCGGAUCAGCAUGCCGCGGUGAAUACGUUCCCGGGCCUUGUACACACCGCCCGUCACACCAUGAGAGUUUGUAACACCCAAAGUCGGUGGGGUAACCUUUUAGGAGCCAGCCGCCU